GUGUGGCUCAGUGGUAGAGCACUGAGUUUGUGUUAGGUCCUGGGUUCAAAUCCCAGCAC
This 59-nucleotide transfer RNA is filed under the name Heterocephalus glaber (naked mole-rat). It matches the Rfam family "tRNA", at positions 5 to 66 of the family's 71-position model. From Rfam's summary of the family: Transfer RNA (tRNA) molecules are approximately 80 nucleotides in length. Their secondary structure includes four short double-helical elements and three loops (D, anti-codon, and T loops). The record is from Rfam by way of RNAcentral. Lineage: Eukaryota; Metazoa; Chordata; Mammalia; Rodentia; Bathyergidae.